UGUUAGCGGCGGACGGGUGAGUAACACGUGGAUAACCUACCUAUAAGACUGGGAUAACUUCGGGAAACCGGAGCUAAUACCGGAUAAUAUUUUGAACCGCAUGGUUCAAAAGUGAAAGACGGUCUUGCUGUCACUUAUAGAUGGAUCCGCGCUGCAUUAGCUAGUUGGUAAGGUAACGGCUUACCAAGGCAACGAUGCAUAGCCGACCUGAGAGGGUGAUCGGCCACACUGGAACUGAGACACGGUCCAGACUCCUACGGGAGGCAGCAGUAGGGAAUCUUCCGCAAUGGGCGAAAGCCUGACGGAGCAACGCCGCGUGAGUGAUGAAGGUCUUCGGAUCGUAAAACUCUGUUAUUAGGGAAGAACAUAUGUGUAAGUAACUGUGCACAUCUUGACGGUACCUAAUCAGAAAGCCACGGCUAACUACGUGCCAGCAGCCGCGGUAAUACGUAGGUGGCAAGCGUUAUCCGGAAUUAUUGGGCGUAAAGCGCGCGUAGGCGGUUUUUUAAGUCUGAUGUGAAAGCCCACGGCUCAACCGUGGAGGGUCAUUGGAAACUGGAAAACUUGAGUGCAGAAGAGGAAAGUGGAAUUCCAUGUGUAGCGGUGAAAUGCGCAGAGAUAUGGAGGAACACCAGUGGCGAAGGCGACUUUCUGGUCUGUAACUGACGCUGAUGUGCGAAAGCGUGGGGAUCAAACAGGAUUAGAUACCCUGGUAGUCCACGCCGUAAACGAUGAGUGCUAAGUGUUAGGGGGUUUCCGCCCCUUAGUGCUGCAGCUAACGCAUUAAGCACUCCGCCUGGGGAGUACGACCGCAAGGUUGAAACUCAAAGGAAUUGACGGGGACCCGCACAAGCGGUGGAGCAUGUGGUUUAAUUCGAAGCAACGCGAAGAACCUUACCAAAUCUUGACAUCCUUUGACAACUCUAGAGAUAGAGCCUUCCCCUUCGGGGGACAAAGUGACAGGUGGUGCAUGGUUGUCGUCAGCUCGUGUCGUGAGAUGUUGGGUUAAGUCCCGCAACGAGCGCAACCCUUAAGCUUAGUUGCCAUCAUUAAGUUGGGCACUCUAAGUUGACUGCCGGUGACAAACCGGAGGAAGGUGGGGAUGACGUCAAAUCAUCAUGCCCCUUAUGAUUUGGGCUACACACGUGCUACAAUGGACAAUACAAAGGGCAGCGAAACCGCGAGGUCAAGCAAAUCCCAUAAAGUUGUUCUCAGUUCGGAUUGUAGUCUGCAACUCGACUACAUGAAGCUGGAAUCGCUAGUAAUCGUAGAUCAGCAUGCUACGGUGAAUACGUUCCCGGGUCUUGUACACACCGCCCGUCACACCACGAGAGUUUGUAACACCCGAAGCCGGUGGAGUAACCUUUUAGGAG
This 1373-nucleotide ribosomal RNA is filed under the name Staphylococcus aureus. RNAcentral describes it as "bacterial SSU rRNA". It matches the Rfam family "Bacterial small subunit ribosomal RNA", at positions 90 to 1448 of the family's 1533-position model. Lineage: Bacteria; Bacillati; Bacillota; Bacilli; Caryophanales; Staphylococcaceae. The record is from RNAcentral.